Molecule: ribosomal RNA, 399 nt
Filed under: uncultured Geobacteraceae bacterium
Lineage: Bacteria; Pseudomonadati; Thermodesulfobacteriota; Desulfuromonadia; Geobacterales; Geobacteraceae
Description: partial 16S ribosomal RNA
Rfam family: Bacterial small subunit ribosomal RNA
Source: RNAcentral
CCUACGGGAGGCAGCAGUGGGGAAUUUUGCGCAAUGGGGGCAACCCUGACGCAGCAACGCCGCGUGAGUGAUGAAGGCCUUCGGGUCGUAAAGCUCUGUCAGAGGGGAAGAAAUGCAGGUGGUGAACAACCAUUCUGUUUGACGGUACCCUCAAAGGAAGCACCGGCUAACUCCGUGCCAGCAGCCGCGGUAAUACGGAGGGUGCGAGCGUUAAUCGGAAUUACUGGGCGUAAAGCGCGUGUAGGCGGUUUGUAAAGUCUGAUGUAAAAGCCCCGGGCUCAACCUGGAAAGUGCAUUGGAUACUGGCAGGCUGGAGUACGGGAGAGGAGAGUGAAAUUCCCGGUGUAGGAGUGAAAGCCGUAGAUAUUGGGAGGAACACCGGUGGCGAGGGCGGCUCUC